Molecule: ribosomal RNA, 460 nt
Filed under: uncultured bacterium
Lineage: Bacteria
Description: partial 16S ribosomal RNA
Rfam family: Bacterial small subunit ribosomal RNA
Source: RNAcentral
CCUACGGGUGGCAGCAGUGAGGAAUAUUGGUCAAUGAACGAAAGUCUGAAGCAGCCAAGUAGCGUGAAGGAUGACUGCCCUCUGGGUUGUAAACUUCUUUUAUAUGGGAAUAAAAUGUUACACGUGUGGGAUUUUGUAUGUACCAUAUCAUUAAGGAUCGGCUAAAUCCGUGCCAGCAGCCGCGGUAAUACGGAGGAUCCGAGCGUUAUCCGGAUUUAUUGGGUUUAAAGGGAGCGUAGGGGGAUUGUUAAGUCAGUUGUGAAAGUUUGCGGCUCAACCGUAAAAUUGCAGUUGAAACUGGCAGUCUUGAGUACAGUAGAGGUGGGCGGAAUUCGUGGUGUAGCGGUGAAAUGCUUAGAUAUAACGAAGAACUCCGAUUGCGAAGGCAGUUCACUGGACUGCAACUGACACUGAGGCUCGAAAGUGUGGGUAUCAAACAGGAUUAGAUACCCCGGUAGUC